RNAcentral lists this ribosomal RNA (473 nucleotides) under uncultured bacterium. RNAcentral's name for it is "bacterial SSU rRNA". It matches the Rfam family "Bacterial small subunit ribosomal RNA", at positions 28 to 507 of the family's 1533-position model. The record is from RNAcentral.
GAUGAACGCUGGCGGCGUGCCUCAAACAUGCAAGUCGAGCGAGGCUAUGAAUUACCGCAAGGUAAGGCAUAGCCUAGCGGCGAACGGGUGAGUAACACGUGGGUAACCUACCUGGAAGACAGGGAUAACGAUUCGAAAGGGUCGCUAAUACCUGAUAAUAUCCGUCUGCCGGAUGGCGGAGGGAAGAAAGGGGAAACCCGCUUUCAGAUGGGCCCGCGUCCCAUCAGCUAGUUGGUAAGGUAAAGGCUUACCAAGGCGACGACGGGUAGCCGGUCUGAGAGGAUGUACGGCCACACUGGGACUGAGAUACGGCCCAGACUCCUACGGGAGGCAGCAGUUGGGAAUCUUAGGCAAUGGACGAAAGUCUGACCUAGCGACGCCGCGUGAGGGAAGAAGGCCUUCGGGUUGUAACCGUCUGUCAUGGGGAAGAAGGAAGUGACGGUACCCAAGAGGAAGCCCCUGCUAACUACGUG